UGCGCCUGUGGCGGGUGCAGCAUGACCAUAUAAAAAGGCUUUACAGGCAGCCAGUCAUGUACCACCUGGUAAUGUAAGCACAGCUUACUUCAAAGCAUUUU
RNAcentral lists this small RNA (101 nucleotides) under bovine gut metagenome. RNAcentral describes it as "RT-5 RNA". It matches the Rfam family "RT-5 RNA". From Rfam's summary of the family: Clostridium (Firmicutes). Environment (Cow rumen (57)) The record is from RNAcentral.